ACCACAGUUCAAGAAGGACACUGACAAACUGGAACGUGUCCAGAGGAGGGCAACCAAAAUGGCCAAAGGCCUGGAAACGAUGCCUUAUGAGGAACGGCUAAGGGAGCUGGGCAUGUUUAGCCUGGAGAAGAGGAGGUUAAGGGGUGAUAUGAUAGCCAUGUUCAAAUAUAUAAAAGGAUGUCACAUAGAGGAGGGAGAAAGGUUGUUUUCUGCUGCUCCAGAGAAGCGGACACGGAGCAAUGGAUCCAAACUACAAGAAAGAAGAUUCCGCCUAAACAUUAGGAAGAACUUCC
Non-coding RNA from Podarcis lilfordi (Lilford's wall lizard), 293 nucleotides. The record is from the annotation of a GenBank genome assembly. NCBI's taxonomy places the organism in Eukaryota, Metazoa, Chordata, Lepidosauria, Squamata, Lacertidae.